Molecule: ribosomal RNA, 492 nt
Filed under: uncultured bacterium
Lineage: Bacteria
Description: partial 16S ribosomal RNA
Rfam family: Bacterial small subunit ribosomal RNA
Source: RNAcentral
AGUGAACGCUGGCGGUAGGCCUAACACAUGCAAGUCGAACGGCAGCACAGUAAGAGCUUGCUCUUACGGGUGGCGAGUGGCGGACGGGUGAGGAAUACAUCGGAAUCUACUUUUUCGUGGGGGAUAACGUAGGGAAACUUACGCUAAUACCGCAUACGACCUACGGGUGAAAGCAGGGGAUCUUCGGACCUUGCGCGAUUGAAUGAGCCGAUGUCGGAUUAGCUAGUUGGCGGGGUAAAGGCCCACCAAGGCGACGAUCCGUAGCUGGUCUGAGAGGACGAUCAGCCACACUGGAACUGAGACACGGUCCAGACUCCUACGGGAGGCAGCAGUGGGGAAUAUUGGACAAUGGGCGCAAGCCUGAUCCAGCCAUACCGCGUGGGUGAAGAAGGCCUUCGGGUUGUAAAGCCCUUUUGUUGGGAAAGAAAAGCAGCAGGUUAAUACCCCGCUGUUCUGACGGUACCCGAAGAAUAAGCACCGGCUAACUUCGUG